GUGUGUGUGUGUGUGUGUGUGAGUCCCGGGGGCUGGAGCUCAGGAUGGCGGCGGUCGAUGCUGCUGCUGCUGCUGCUGCUGAGGCCGAGUCGUCGGACAGUGAACCGGAGCAGGAGCACGGUUCCCCGCAGAAACUCAUUCGGAAAGUCUCCACGUCCGGUCAGAUCCGGAGCAAGACGAUUUUAAAAGAGGGAAAGUUAAUGAAACAGACGAACUUUCAGCGCUGGAAGAGACGAUAUUUUAAACUGCGGGGAAGAACACUGUACUACGCUCAGACGGCCAAGUCAAUUAUUUUUGAUGAAGUGGAUCUGACAGACGCCAGUGUAGCGGAAUCCAGUACGAAGAACAUCAACAACAGCUUCACUGUGAGUCACACACACACACACACAC
Molecule: long non-coding RNA, 390 nt
Organism: Rhinichthys klamathensis goyatoka
Lineage: Eukaryota; Metazoa; Chordata; Actinopteri; Cypriniformes; Leuciscidae
Exons: 3
Source: RefSeq, a predicted model, not a curated record